Molecule: long non-coding RNA, 467 nt
Filed under: Gossypium barbadense (sea-island cotton)
Lineage: Eukaryota; Viridiplantae; Streptophyta; Magnoliopsida; Malvales; Malvaceae
Description: long non-coding RNA (GBAR_LNC014217)
Source: RNAcentral
UAGAGGCUGGGACGUUUUCAUUGUGGCUUGGAAUUGACAUCGAAUAAGCAGUAUCCUUUCAAUGUUUCCUGUCAAGAAGGUAUAUUUUCAACGCUAUUUUAACCUGAUUUGUUCCUCAUACAUGGAUCAUUGGCUGUGGAUUGCCAUAAUAUUUUUUUCACUACGCCACGGGGCGUACCAACAGUCCCAACAGGAUGCACAUGAUUUACAAUUCUCUUUGUUUUGUUUGGUUGUUGUGUUUAUUUUCAUUUUUAAUGCAUUUUAAAAAUAAUUAAAAAUACUUUCGUUUGUUUUCUUUGUUUUGUGUGUUUGCAUGGUGCUUGGACAAUAAUUGAGCAAUAGGCCAUUGGUUGUAAAUAUUGAAUAAGUUGGUUGUAUUGCCAAGCAUGUAAAUUUUAUCUUAUACUAGAUAAUUUUGUGUUCUUAAUCGUAGAAUAAUUAGUUUGAUUAGUUAAUUUGUAUAAUAG